AGGCCUUGAAAAACCCUCCAUUUUGUCUUUAAUCCUGCUUCUGACCUCUGGAGGAACCUUGCUACAAACUGAAGCUCUGAACAAAGGACUGAAUGACUCAUCCCAGCUGUGGAUGUGCUCCAGAGACUCGAUUUUGAACCUGCAGUUUAUUGCACCAGUGCCCGAACCAAGAACUGAACCAAGAACUUUGCCAUUACUGUAUAUAAUUGAUUCCAUUUAACCAAUUCUAGCUCUCAUCUAUAUCUUUUUCCUUUUAUGAAUAAACCUUGGUGGGUAUGUAACACAGGGGGGGAGUGGGACUGUGGCACGAGGCUGGGAGGGUACAUAAUGCGUGGUGGAGUGGGUCUGUGGCAUGGGGGGGGUCCAUUGGUUAUGUAACGGGGGGUGGAGAGGGUCUAUUGCAUGGGGCUGGGGAGGGAUGCAAUGCCGCCUGGAGCAGGUCUGUCACAGGGGGCUUGGCGGGGAUGCAAUGUCACUAGGAGCAGGACUGUCACACGGUGCUGGGCAGGUAUGUAACGGGGAGUGUAGUGAGUCUGUUGGCGGGGCUGGGCGAACACAUAAUCGGUGGAAUGGGACUUUGGCACGGGGCCUGUUGAGUUCGUAACAGUGGUGGCGCAGGUCUGUCGUACUGGCUCAUCGGGUAUAUAACACUGGCAGGAAUGGGUCUGUGGGAUGGGGCCCAGUGGGUACAUAACGCAGGGUGAAGCAGGUCUGUUAGACGCUGCUAGGGGUUCGUGAUGUGGAGUGGAGCAGGACUGUGGCAUGGGGCUCAUCAGGUACAUAACUGGGGGUGUAGCGGGUCUGUUGGAUGGGGCUGGGCAGGGACACAAUGCUGCCUGGAGCCGGUCUGUUGCUCGGAGCUGAGCAGGUACGUAAUGUGGGGUGGAGCAGGACUGUCGGACAGGGCUGGGCAGGUAUGUAAUGCAGGGUGGCCCAGGACUGUGGCUCGGGACCUGUUGCAUACGUAACACGGGGUGGAGCAAGACUGUGGCACAGGGCUUGGCACGGAUGCAAUGCCACCUGGAGCGGGUUUGUUGCAUGGGGCUUGGUGGGGACGCAAUGCUGCCUGGAGUGGGAUUGUCACACGGGGCUGGUGGAUGUGUAACGCAGAUGUAGCAGGACUGUGGCACAGGGCUCGGCGGGUAUGUAAUGCAGGGUGGAGCAGGUCUGUGGGACGGGGCUGGACAGGUAUGUGAUGCGUGGUGGAGCAGGUUUGUUUGAUGGGAUUCGGCAGGUAUGCAACGCAGGAUGGAUCGGGACUGUCAGACAGGCCUGAGUGGGUACGUAACAUGGGGUGGAGCGGGACUGUUGCAUGGGCACAUCGGGUACAUAACGCAGGGUGCAUACUCUGACAAGAAUGUGUGAGCGCAGUAGAGGAGUAUGAAAUACGGUAACCCAGGACUUUGAACACUCUGAUAUAGUGUUUGACCAGUAGGGCGCACAAGUAGCAUGCCAUAUCUGCAAUCAUCAGUUAGGGAGCUCCUGCUGUUUGGUACUGAGUUGUUCACCCGGUGGAGGCAAGAGAUCCCAUCUGAAGAGGGACCA
This is a long non-coding RNA of Gopherus flavomarginatus (Mexican gopher tortoise), 1545 nucleotides long. RefSeq lists it as uncharacterized. Lineage: Eukaryota; Metazoa; Chordata; Testudines; Testudinidae. The transcript is spliced from 3 exons. The record is from RefSeq and is a predicted model, not a curated record.